This 115-nucleotide ribosomal RNA is filed under the name Danio rerio (zebrafish). The record is from RNAcentral. Lineage: Eukaryota; Metazoa; Chordata; Actinopteri; Cypriniformes; Danionidae.
CCCGGCAGCUAGCUCUCUACAAAUCUCAGAUGGUCGCCCACUGAAAUGAAGCAGGGCUGUGCCCGGUUAGUACCUGGAUUGGAGAUCACACGGAAAAGCAAUGUCUAUGCCAGAA